AAGAACCGACCUCCGGAAUGAAUUAAGUUCUUAUCCAAAGGUACCAAUGCUAUAAAGCCUUUACAGUGGUACCUCUGGUUAUGAACUUAAUUCAUUCUGGAG
This is a non-coding RNA of Podarcis lilfordi (Lilford's wall lizard), 102 nucleotides long. NCBI's taxonomy places the organism in Eukaryota, Metazoa, Chordata, Lepidosauria, Squamata, Lacertidae. The record is from the annotation of a GenBank genome assembly.